Molecule: ribosomal RNA, 615 nt
Filed under: Meyerozyma guilliermondii
Lineage: Eukaryota; Fungi; Ascomycota; Pichiomycetes; Serinales; Debaryomycetaceae
Description: eukaryotic LSU rRNA
Rfam family: Eukaryotic large subunit ribosomal RNA
Source: RNAcentral
UGCAUAUCAAAAAGCGGAGGAAAAGAAACCAACAGGGAUUGCCUUAGUAGCGGCGAGUGAAGCGGCAAAAGCUCAAAUUUGAAAUCUGGCGCCUUCGGUGUCCGAGUUGUAAUUUGAAGAUUGUAACCUUGGGGUUGGCUCUUGUCUAUGUUUCUUGGAACAGGACGUCACAGAGGGUGAGAAUCCCGUGCGAUGAGAUGCCCAAUUCUAUGUAAGGUGCUUUCGAAGAGUCGAGUUGUUUGGGAAUGCAGCUCUAAGUGGGUGGUAAAUUCCAUCUAAAGCUAAAUAUUGGCGAGAGACCGAUAGCGAACAAGUACAGUGAUGGAAAGAUGAAAAGAACUUUGAAAAGAGAGUGAAAAAGUACGUGAAAUUGUUGAAAGGGAAGGGUUUGAGAUCAGACUCGAUAUUUUGUGAGCCUUGCCUUCGUGGCGGGGUGACCCGCAGCUUAUCGGGCCAGCAUCGGUUUGGGCGGUAGGAUAAUGGCGUAGGAAUGUGACUUUACUUCGGUGAAGUGUUAUAGCCUGCGUUGAUGCUGCCUGCCUAGACCGAGGACUGCGAUUUUAUCAAGGAUGCUGGCAUAAUGAUCCCAAACCGCCCGUCUUGAAACCACGGACC